UGAGGAAUAUUGGGCAAUGCCCGCAAGGGUGACCCAGCAACGCCGCGUGGAGGAUGAAUGUCGUAAGAUUGUAAACUCCUGUUAGAGGGGAAGAAUAGUACCGGUUGGACCGGUAUAUGACUGUACCCUCAGAGAAAGCCCCGGCUAACUACGUGCCAGCAGCCGCGGUAAUACGUAGGGGGCAAGCGUUGUCCGGAUUUACUGGGUGUAAAGGGCGCGCAGGCGGGAUAAAAAGUCAGUGGUGAAAUCCUACAGCUUAACUGUAGAACUGCCUUUGAUUCUUUUAUUCUUGAGUUCGGGAGAGAGAGACGGAAUUCCAGGUGUAGUGGUGAAAUACGUAGAUAUCUGGAAGAACACCAGUUGCGAAGGCGGUCUCUUGGUCCGACACUGACGCUGAGGCGCGAAAGCGUGGGGAGCAAACA
RNAcentral lists this ribosomal RNA (422 nucleotides) under uncultured bacterium. Its description in RNAcentral is "bacterial SSU rRNA". It matches the Rfam family "Bacterial small subunit ribosomal RNA", at positions 355 to 774 of the family's 1533-position model. The record is from RNAcentral.